GCUUUUCAUGAAGUUACCCAAGGGGCUUUGGAACUGUAUUCUCAAUGCUUUUGAGGUAGUAGCUAGGUCGAUGCCAGGAAUUGUGCAUAAGUUAUUGGAAGAAUUGGAUUUUGGUUUCAAAAAUGAAAGGGGGAAAAUAUUAUAGAGUUGAUCUGUUCAAUUUGGUGGUCCAUUUGGAGAGAGGAAUAAUCAGGCAUUCAGGAAUGAGAGUCGAAAUAUUUCCCAGGUAGCACGAGAGGAAAAUUAUCUCGUGGGCAUUGGUUCAAAAGGAAUUCAAAAGUGUUUCAAGGUACAAUCUGAGAAGAGGAUGGCGGGAAGCUAUGGAAGACAAGCAGUGGGCUCUUUUCUCUGAGAUCAAAGAAAUAAAUGGGAAGAAGCGCAAAGAGGACGAUUGCUAUGGCUUCUGGAAACAGGUCUCCUAGAAUUUCAAAUAUGGAUUUUGCAUGCUGAUUCAUACAUUCAUGAAGAUAUAAUACACGAGGUCAUCAAUAUUCCUGAGGAGAGGUUUGCUCUGCUAUGGAACAAGUAGUUGCAAGGAUUUGGAGCCCUUGCCGGGUGUUCUUCUUCGAUCCCAUGGUAUGGGAAGAGACACAUAAAUGUGGUAAAACAUAAGAAUCAUGCUGUAAGAAGAAGUGAAGUAAGCUUACGAGUUCGGCCAGCUUGAAACGUCUAAACCCAGUUUGCAAUGGCAGUAACAGUAUUCCUGCAGAACGAGCCAGUUCCCACACGGUCAGUUUGGUAAAAUGGAGAUUCUGUGGUUACACAUGAUGGUUCUCGUGAUGUUGAUCGAGUUGCCUAUCAGAAUGAUACUUUUUGUAGCGUCUCACAAGCAUGAAAACUUGCAGAAAUAGAAUUUCUACAAUGGAUGAGAGGAUUCUAAUGCCUCCCUUACUCUUAGAGCACAACAAAAUCAUGUUAGAACCAGCCCGGAAAUUACACCAGGUUUGUUUAUUAGCCUGAAACACUUGUAAUCUA
Magnolia sinica is the source of this 975-nucleotide long non-coding RNA. RefSeq lists it as uncharacterized. NCBI's taxonomy places the organism in Eukaryota, Viridiplantae, Streptophyta, Magnoliopsida, Magnoliales, Magnoliaceae. The record is from RefSeq and is a predicted model, not a curated record. The transcript is spliced from 3 exons.